RNAcentral lists this ribosomal RNA (470 nucleotides) under uncultured organism. RNAcentral's name for it is "partial 16S ribosomal RNA". It matches the Rfam family "Bacterial small subunit ribosomal RNA", at positions 335 to 797 of the family's 1533-position model. The record is from RNAcentral.
ACUCCUACGGGAGGCAGCAGUGGGGAAUAUUGCACAAUGGGCGCAAGCCUGAUGCAGCCAUGCCGCGUGUAUGAAGAAGGCCUUCGGGUUGUAAAGUACUUUCAGCGGGGAGGAAGGCAAUACGGUUAAUAACCGUGUUGAUUGACGUUACCCGCAGAAGAAGCACCGGCUAACUCCGUGCCAGCAGCCGCGGUAAUACGGAGGGUGCAAGCGUUAAUCGGAAUUACUGGGCGUAAAGCGCACGCAGGCGGUCUGUCAAGUCGGAUGUGAAAUCCCCGGGCUCAACCUGGGAACUGCAUUCGAAACUGGCAGGCUUGAGUCUUGUAGAGGGGGGUAGAAUUCCAGGUGUAGCGGUGAAAUGCGUAGAGAUCUGGAGGAAUACCGGUGGCGAAGGCGGCCCCCUGGACAAAGACUGACGCUCAGGUGCGAAAGCGUGGGGAGCAAACAGGAUUAGAAACCCUUGUAGUCCC